RNAcentral lists this ribosomal RNA (323 nucleotides) under uncultured eukaryote. RNAcentral describes it as "partial 18S ribosomal RNA". It matches the Rfam family "Eukaryotic small subunit ribosomal RNA", at positions 1470 to 1796 of the family's 1831-position model. The record is from RNAcentral.
CCCUUAGAUGUUCUGGGCUGCACGCGCGCUACACUGACACGUUCAACGAGUUGUUGCCUGGACCGAGAGGUUUGGGAAAUCUUUUGAAAUCGUGUCGUGAUAGGGAUAGAUUAUUGCAAUUAUUAAUCUUCAACGAGGAAUUCCUAGUAAACGCAAGUCAACAGCUUGCGCUGAUUACGUCCCUGCCCUUUGUACACACCGCCCGUCGCUCCUACCGAUUGGGUGAUCCGGUGAAUGGUUCGGACUCUGGCUAUGCUAGCUACUAGCUACGUCAGGGAAAGUUCUGUGAACCUUAUCACUUGGAGGAAGGAGAAGUCGUAACA